CACGUAGGUUAUCUCCCCUCGAGUGGUGGAUAACCCUCCGAAAGGAGGGCUAAUACAGCAUGAGACCACGAUCCUUUGGAUAGCGGUCAAAGCAGGCCUCUACAUGUAAGCUUGCGCUCAAGGAUGAGCCUGCGGCCCAUCAGCUAGUUGGUAAGGUAACGGCUUACCAAGGCUAAGACGGGUAGCUGGUCUGAGAGGAUGAUCAGCCACACUGGAACUGAGACACGGUCCAGACUCCUACGGGAGGCAGCAGUGGGGAAUAUUGCACAAUGGGCGAAAGCCUGAUGCAGCCAUGCCGCG
RNAcentral lists this ribosomal RNA (300 nucleotides) under uncultured Myxococcales bacterium. RNAcentral describes it as "bacterial SSU rRNA". It matches the Rfam family "Bacterial small subunit ribosomal RNA", at positions 114 to 401 of the family's 1533-position model. The record is from RNAcentral. Lineage: Bacteria; Pseudomonadati; Myxococcota; Myxococcia; Myxococcales.